Molecule: ribosomal RNA, 842 nt
Filed under: uncultured bacterium
Lineage: Bacteria
Description: bacterial SSU rRNA
Rfam family: Bacterial small subunit ribosomal RNA
Source: RNAcentral
UUAGAGUUUGAUCAUGGCUCAGGACGAACGCUGGCGGCGUGCUUAACACAUGCAAGUCGAACGGAAAGGCCCUGCUUUUGUGGGGUGCUCGAGUGGCGAACGGGUGAGUAACACGUGAGUAACCUGCCCUUGACUUUGGGAUAACUUCAGGAAACUGGGGCUAAUACCGGAUAGGAGCUCCUGCUGCAUGGUGGGGGUUGGAAAGUUUCGGCGGUUGGGGAUGGACUCGCGGCUUAUCAGCUUGUUGGUGGGGUAGUGGCUUACCAAGGCUUUGACGGGUAGCCGGCCUGAGAGGGUGACCGGCCACAUUGGGACUGAGAUACGGCCCAGACUCCUACGGGAGGCAGCAGUGGGGAAUAUUGCACAAUGGGCGGAAGCCUGAUGCAGCAACGCCGCGUGCGGGAUGACGGCCUUCGGGUUGUAAACCGCUUUCGCCUGUGACGAAGCGUGAGUGACGGUAAUGGGUAAAGAAGCACAGGCUAACUACGUGCCAGCAGCCGCGGUGAUACGUAGGGUGCGAGCGUUGUCCGGAUUUAUCGGGCGUAAAGGGCUCGUAGGUGGUUGAUCGCGUCGGAAGUGUAAUCUUGGGGCUUAACCCUGAGCGUGCUUUCGAUACGGGUUGACUUGAGGAAGGUAGGGGAGAAUGGAAUUCCUGGUGGAGCGGUGGAAUGCGCAGAUAUCAGGAGGAACACCAGUGGCGAAGGCGGUUCUCUGGGCCUUUCCUGACGCUGAGGAGCGAAAGCGUGGGGAGCGAACAGGCUUAGAUACCCUGGUAGUCCACGCUGUAAACGGUGGGUACUAGGUGUGGGGUCCAUUCCACGGGUUCCGUGCCGUAGCUAACG